ACCAGAGGCUGGGUCUAAUUAGUUGAGAAGCAGUGACACCCCCAACCACUCCCCAAACAGGCUGGCUCCCGUCUCCAGGCCCCAAGGAGCCACACCUGGACCAGACCCCAGGAAAGGUAAGCACCAACGGCAGACCUGGGAUCCGUGGGUGGGGGCCUCUGGGAAUUUCCCUAGGGGGAUGCUGCAUCUGGGGGUCUUGCUGUCUUGCUAACUGGCUCUGUCCCUUUCUGGACACAGAUUCUCUGGGUCUCAGUUUCCCCAUCUGUACAGGGGCUGGAGUCGAUGAUCUCUAAGCAUCCAUCCAGCUGAUCGGCUCUAGUUCUAUGGUCCUGUUGGCUUCUAGGAUUCCUUGUUGUUGUAGUCAAUUGGGGGAAGAAGGUGCAGAGGGAGUGCACAGAGUUAACAUCCUAUCAGCCCAAGCUUCACCACGGCACCCGAGUCUCAGGCAGUCUCCCUGGCUUCUACAUAGGCAGUGCUUCUUCCUCAUUGUAUGGGGCUUUGAUUUUGUAAUUCCAAGAGCCUGGGGCUCCUGGCAAGGAAAAUGGUUUUCAAAUAAUGGUUUCGAGAAACAAAGCUGGGGAAGAGGCAAUGUAAGCUCAGGCUCUGGCAGGCAGGCAGAGAUCCUGGGAAGGCUGGGUGCUGACUGCACAUGGAGCAAUGGGAAGGGAUGCUGGUGAGAGGAGACGGGGGCACUUAAGCUCCGGCCCCAGCUCUGCUCUCAGUGCCCGGCUCUGUGGUCUUGGGCUGGCCCACUCCCUUCUCUGGGCCAUAGUUUUCCCAUCUGUAUAGCAAGGCCAUUGGACAAAAUGGUCCCUCUGCAGAUGUGGCUUCUGAGUUGUUUGUGCCUGAGGGACAGCCAGUGUUGGGAAGUUCCCCCAGGAGGUCCCUGAGCCGAGUCUGAACUUUGACCACAAGCUUGGAGUCCAAGCAGAUGAAGUCCUGUGGGAGCUUUUGGAGGUUGAGCCUGAGUGAGGGAGAGUAGCUGAAGGUUCUGUGACUGAAGGCUUGGCCAGAGGGGUGCCCCGAGGCCUCCAGAUGAACUUGGCUGCAACCAGCCUCUGGUGGGGAAAGGACUGAUCUCUGGAUUCAACCACACAGGAAUGUGGGACAUGGAAGUAGGUAAGGGAUGGAAAAGACAGCAGAGGGCUUCGCGGGUUGAAGCAGUGGGGCCAGGGGACUUAGAGGAAUGCAGGAGGCAUGGGCCACUGCACUCAGCCAACACCUAUCCUUGAGGAAUAGAAAGAUCCAGGCUCCACACCACACACCAUCACUGACUCGAGUGGCUGUUCUGAUUCCCAGCUGAGCCUGAGGGGUUCGGGGAGGUAAUCUCUGAGGUCCUCACUGCUGGGCCGUGCCUGGGCAUGGCCUCUUCCUGCAAUUUUCCAACUAAACUCUCCGGGGGGCUCAGCGCCAUGGGGUGGUUCGAAGAACCAUGAUGAAGGCUGGUUCGAAUUGUGAUGACCAUUUUUGUCCACAUCUCCUAGGACCCAUAAGCCAGAGUUUCUCUGGAGCUUAUACCUAGAAGGGGUUCUGGGUCCUGGAGUGCAGGCCUGUCAACUUUACAGGAGAGCACUAGAUUGCUUUCUGAAGCGGCUGAACCAGGUUUUGCUUCCAUCAGCUGUGUAUGAGCAUCCCCAUCUUCUUGACCACACUUGAAGUCAUCAGUUUCCUUGAAGCAUAUGGGUUGCACACUUCAUUUUGCAUGUAUCAAAUUUAUAUAAUAAAAAAUGUAAGGAAGCCAUGGAAAUAAAAAUGUAGGUGUGCCUUCUGUAGGCUGCUAUGCUCCUGUGCACGAGGGCGUCUAGAACUUUGCCCUCCAUGCACAAGUUGCAGAGCACCCUCAUCAGGACAUUUACGAAGGCCCUGGGGUGGGAUGGGCACUGCCUAUGUGGCCCUCCCCCAGCCCAGCAGUAUGCAGUGGCCCGGGUCCAAUCAAAGAUCGCCUGGGAGGGUGAGUUGCAAGAAUCUGGGGAAAAGAGCCCAAGGUGGCUGCCGCCUGCUAACAGCUUGUCUAGACAGGCCCCAUGGGGCUUCACCGCACAUUGCGAGAGCUCUGGCCAGCCCCCUGCCCACUUGCAAAAGAGGCUGUUGGCAGCAACACUUCACCACUAGAAACCUUUACUCCAAUUCGAAACAUGCCUUAAUGCACAGUGUGAAUUACCCACUCUCGUGGCCCACAGAGGUUGACUCAUUCAGGCCCCCUUUUGUUCAGAUGAGGAAACUGAGGCUGACUCCGAAGCCUGGGGGCUUUCAGAUGUGGAGUGGGUCCCGGUGUCCAGGUGAUGAGGGGACCAGGUGGGUCUGGAGCAGGGCUGGAGUGGGGCUCAGAUGUAGUAGGCUGGCAGUUAAAGGUGCCAGAUGUGAGCCAGGCUGCUGGGUUUGAAUCCUGGAUCUGCCUCAUAGCAGCAGUAGGACUUUGGGUAACUUACAUAGGUGCUGUAUGCUUCAGUGACCUCAUCUGUAAUAUAGAGAUGAUAAGAGUACCUGUCUCACUGGUCUACUAAGUUGUCUGGAUUAACUCAUUAAAUGAGUUAAAACUCAUGAAGCCCUUGGAACUGUGACUGACACAUAGUAAGUACUCAAUAAAAAAUAACUGCUAAGACCAGCCACAGUGGCUCACACCUGUAAUCUGAGCAUUCUGGGAGGCCAAGGCGGAAGAAUCCCUUGAGCCCAGUAUUUCAAGACCAGCCUAAAGGUCAACAUAGGCAGACUCUGUCUCUACUAUACAUUUUUAGAUUAAAUUUUUAUAAUAAUAAUAACCACUAAAAUGUGAUUACUAAAGACAGCUUCUUCACAGUACAAAGAGAUGCUUUUCUGAGUACCAACUCUUUGGAGGAUAAACUGCCCUUAUACCUUCAAAAAUAACACUUGCCAUAUAUCAAGUCCUUUCAAGUACCUGGACAUUUACCCAGCACUCUGAGAUAAAUACCAUUAUCCUUCUGGGCACACAAAGGCUCAGAGAGGUUUAGUCAUUUGCCCAAAGUCACACAGCCUGUACGAGGCCAAGCUGGGACUCAAACUCAGUUCUGACUGAUUCUAAAAUCAUGUGUUUAACUGCUGCACUCUAGGACCACCCACAAUGGAUCUGUGAACCAGAACCAGCUCUGGUUCUGACCUGCUUAGUAGGGCCUUUGGCAUUUGGGGGAGGAGGCCAUUGGAAGUCCGAAGCCCCCUUCCAGAUUAGGCAUGAUUGCAGUAAGAGAAGAGACAGACCCUUUGGCCCCCUACCCCUGCUCAGGCUCAAAAAUGCAGACCCUGCCAAAACAGUCCUUCUCACCCAGAAGCACCCCAUAGGGUGGGCUGAGUAACCUUGGGGGCCUCGUCAGUCUUGGGCUGCCCCAUGCCCUGCACAGCCCACCUGAGGUUUGAGGAAGGGGCAGUUGGCUAGGCCCAGACUGGAGAAAGCCACCCCACCAUGGCCCUUCUGCAAGAACCCCCGGCCAGCCACAAGCCUAACCCCCCUCCUUAAAAGCUCCUCCUCUGACCUUAGCUGUGCAUCAAGGGAGAAAAGAAAGCUCCAGGCCGGGCGCGGUGGUUCACACCUGCAAUCCCAGCACUUUGGGAGACCAAGGCUGGCAGAUCAUUAGGUCAGGAGUUCGAGACCAGCCUGGCCAGCAAGGUGAAACCCCAUCUGUACUAAAAUUACAAAAAAUUAGUCAGGCAUGGUGGCACGUGCCUGUAGUCCCAGCUACUCUGGAGGCUGAGGCAGGAGAAUUGCUUGAACCCAGGAGGCGAAGGUUGCAGUAAACCGAGAUCACGCCACUACACUCCAGCCUGGGCGACAGAGCAAGACUCUGUCUCAAAAAGAAAAAAAAAGAAAGCUCCAAACUGCUCUGCUGCCACAUACUCUACUCCUCCUCUCCCUCCAAGGAGGCAGGGAUGGGGGUGGAGUGUCUAGAGGGAGGCUGCCUGCUGGCCUGGGGAUGGAUCCACAGAGGCUAUGACACCACCCCUGGCUGGGCUACUGGGCUCAGAGGCCCCCGGUCAGCCUGCCCAGAGCCUGCCAGCCACCAGGCAUGUGACCCAACAACCCCGAUGAGCUGAGCAAGGCAGGGUGAAGGAGAAAGAGGCCGGCUAGGACCAGGCCCUGGCUCUGCAGCCAGCACACCUGGGUAAGUGUCCCACUCCUCUGGGGCCUCAGGCCAUAAUGUUCCCUGGUUUGGGACAGAGGGGACAGCUGAGGUCAUUCCAUGUGUGACAGUAGACACCUGGAUUCUCAGAGAGGGAACAUCUAAGGAGCUAGGGGCGCGCCCUGGAUAGACAGAGAAGAUGGCAUUCCAGGUGGAGAGCUCUGUGUACAAAGGUAUGGAGGCAGGACUGCAGAGGCAUUUUCAGACAACAGCAGAGAAGCCCAGUUGGCUGGAACCGAGAGUUGGUCUGAAGCUCAGUGAGGCUGGAGGUCGGCGAAGCAGAGAAGGCCUAGAGUGUGCGGUGGCUUUGGCAACAGAAACCAAAGCCUCAGAGCUUGGGAAAAGUUCUCCUUGGUAUCUGUCUGUCCCUGGGAGGGGGUGCCUUUCUUUAGCCUAUUUGUCCCCCUCCCCAAAAUACCAUCAGCCAAGAACCCCAGUGCAGGGCAGAGACCUAGGAAUUUGGAUAAUGGGCAACUCUGAGAUGUCAGGCAAUGGGGAAAGGAGAGCUCAGGUGGGACUAGGAGGGGUAGGAAGCCCGAGGGCUGCAGUCACCAUCUUCAGACCGCUCCAGAGCUUCCUGGGGAGCAGGAACAGAGGACAGGGCAUGAAGUCCAGAAAGGCAGAUGGCAGCAGAAUACUAGGAAGACACCUCCAAUAGUCUGUCCAAAGAGGGUGAGGGGAUUAGGAAGUACAGACAUAUCCUGAGUUACAAUUUUCUAUUUUAAAAUGCUAUGAAAGCUAUAUGCAUUUGGUACCCUCCUCAACUUAUGACACAGUUGUGAUGGGGUUAUAAGGUUACUUCGGAUAAACCAACUCUAUAUUGAAAAUAUCGCAAGUCAAAAAUACACGUUCGGGCCAGGCGCGGUGGCUCACACCUGUCAUCCCAGCAGUUUGGGAGGCCGAGGCGAGCAGAUCAGGAGUUGAGGAGUUCAGGAGUUCAAGACCAGCCUGGCCAACGUGGCAAAUACCCAUCUCUACUAAAAAAAA
RNAcentral lists this long non-coding RNA (5117 nucleotides) under Pan troglodytes (chimpanzee). RNAcentral describes it as "lincRNA". Lineage: Eukaryota; Metazoa; Chordata; Mammalia; Primates; Hominidae. The record is from RNAcentral.